GGUCAGGGAGUGAGCUCCUGGAAGCGCACCUUCUACUACAACGCGCGGCGGCUGGACGACCACCAGACGGUGCGCGACGUGCGACUACAGGACGGCUCGGUGCUUCUGCUCGUCAGCGACCCCAGGUAACCUGGGUUGGAGGAUGCGGAGCCAUGGCCGAGGGGACCAAAGGUGCUGGCUGAAGGAGCAGCUGGGAUGGGGAGGCGACUCUCCUGGGAGCCUUGACCUCACUCAGGGUUCUGGGCUCCCAGGAUAGAUGGUGAAACACUGGCCUGCCCAGCUGCUGCCCGCCACCUGGGACCUUUCUGAUGGAGCCCUAGUCCCUGACACGGACUGAGGACAUUGCUGCUCCAGGCCAGCCAGCCUUCCAGUUGUGCUGUGUGAUCCUGAGGCCAUGGCUCCCACCUUGGAGCUUCAAGUGCCUAGGGGGAUCCACAGUGUCAUCUUGGGAGGCAGCUGGAGGAUGUCACAUGUGGAGAAGCAUAGAGUGGAGACGAGGGGAGCUUGUGGGCAUCACCAGCUCCUGCCUUGAGCGUUCUCUCGGGCAUGCCUCUGCCCAAGCUGUGCCCCAUGCUGGAAGCACUUCUCACACCCCUGUCUUCAGCUCCAGUCCACCGGGGAUUGCAGCCUCCUCCAGGAAGUCUUGGAUUUCCUUCUUCCCAGUCAGUGAGCACCUUGUCCUCUUUGGGGCCCCCACAGUCCCCCUCUACUGUGAAGAGCCUCAGCUGAUGGGUGUGGCCGGUUACUCACGAACUCUCAAAUGACUGAAGGUGAAGACUGGGGGACACCAGCCCUCUCUCAGCACUCCAGGGUUGCACUUUCCGCCUCCCCCAAACCUCUCUGCAAGUUGCACCCAUGCCUGCUCCCUUGUCGGCGUCCUUCACUUGCAGCACAGGGUCCUCUGGUUGAAUGGGUGGGGGUCUGUGCCUGGCAGAGCGCUGAGACAUUGACGAUAAUCAUGGGGGUGAUCCAGACUAUUCCAGGCAGUGUGUUGUAGGAAUUCUGGGUACAAGACCCUCUGGGUGGGGAAUUCCCUGUGGUCCAGUGGUUAGGACUCUGCUUCCGCUGUGCUUCCAGCCAGGGUUCAAUCCCUGGUUGGGGAAUUAAGAUUGCACAAGCUGCGGUGUGGGGACAGGGAAAAGAAAAAAGGCCCUCCAAGUAGAACGCGGGUACUCAGUUGUAUUUCUGAUCUUUGGCCGCAAGGCAUCGGGUCCUCUGUGCAGUCCACCCACCACCCGGGGUAGCCCAUUCGCAUGCGCUCUCGAGGGCUCCAUCCAUGCCCUGGGUGCUGGCAUCACAGGGCAGAGGCUCAGAAGUCUGGGAAGAAAUAAUGUUUUAAUUAAGAGUUUUGUUGGCUGCAGGGCCCAGGGUAGGGACAGAUGGAUAAUAAAUCGUGGCCAUGGGGAGAAUAGCGCUCAGAUCGGACUUUGUCUUCCACUGGGUGGGGACAGCACCAGGCCUUGGGGGCUCUGCUAGCCUCCCCUCAGACAAGCCUCUCGGGUUGGCUUUCCUCCCCCUGGGGCCAGGCAGCCCAGGCCCCUGCUCCUGCCUGGUUUUGGCCUUGGUGGGUCACGCAAACGCUGAGGAACCUGCCCACUCCCCAUCCCCCACCCCCACCCCCCAGGGCCCAGCAGGAAAGUGGGGAUUUUAAUAGUCACCCCAGCUCUGUUCCUUGGUUCUCACUAUGUCCCUAGGCCUGUGCCUGGCCUCCAUUUAUUCUAGUCUGCCAACUGAAAGGAUCGUCAGUGGUGGUGAGGAUUAUGACCCAUUUUACAGAUGGAGCAUCUAGGGUCACCCCGUUCCCCUCGGCUCUGCUGCCCUGGCCAUCCUUGAACUGAAGGGUCCCCAGCCCAUGCACAGGUCCCUGAUAGAGGAAGGGGGAGAGUUUCCUGCUUCUUGGCUGAGGUGGGGGUGGGAGAAAGCAUUUUCAGGCCUUUUUUGACAUUUUAACAAACAGUAUGCAAAUCACAUGCAAAUCACAUGCAAAUCACCACUCAUUUCUUAAUCCUCGACAGCUCCACCGUGUUCUGAUAUAAUAAUGUUGGACCUGUCACUUGGUAUUGGCCUGGAGGAGGGGUGCAAGUCUUUUCUCUUCCAUUGUUCUCUCCCUUCCUUUCUUCCUGUUAUCUCUUUACUCCCUUCACAGUGUUAGUUGGAGUCCUCCCAGUCCUGAGAUGAACAUAAACCGCAAAAGUGGCUUCCAACAUUCCCAUUUUCCAGAUGGGAAAACUGAGGCACAGAGAGGGACAAGCCUGGCCUGAGAUCCCAGCACCGCUUGUGGAAAGCAUCCCCACCAAGUACUGUCAUGGCCCAAAGCAGACAGUACCCGUGACCCACAGAGGAGAGAUAACAGUGGUUGGAGCAGGCCUAAUACAGCUUGGAGGAGCCAGGGGGAACUCUCCUUGGGUUUCUUGGCCUGAAUGGCAGUCUGCUUGGAUCUGGAGAAAUCUGACAUCUACUGAUCUUACUCCUCAAGUCAUUUCUUUUGCUAUGCCAUCAUCAUGUUCUUUGAAUUCAGGCCACAGCCUCUCUGCUCAGUUUGCAUGCCUUACUGUUUCUGUUUGCAAACUCCUCUUCAUCCUUCAAAGUCCCAGCUCCUAUGCCCCCUUCUUUAUGCAGCCAUUUCUGAUCCGUCUGAGGUCUGAUCUUUCUCUCUGGUCCAGCCCUGACCCUUUUGUGCACAGCAGCAUUAUUGUACACUCUGGAUCAUUCCCAGCACUUUUCUGAUUAUUGUUUUUUGCUUUUGGUUGCACUGGGUCUUAAUGGCUGUGUUCAGGCUUUCUCCAGUUGUGCUGAAUGGACACUACUCUUUGUUGCGGCUCACAGGCUUCUUACUGCAGUGGCUUCUCUUGUCGUGGAGCACAGGCUCUAGGCACACAGGUUUCAGUAGC
This is a non-coding RNA of Odocoileus virginianus texanus, 2891 nucleotides long. The record is from RefSeq and is a predicted model, not a curated record. NCBI's taxonomy places the organism in Eukaryota, Metazoa, Chordata, Mammalia, Artiodactyla, Cervidae.